CACAAAAAGGUAAACAAACCUAUAAACAAAAACAAUAACUCGGAAAUGUAAAGGUUUGAAUGCAAUGGCAAUGCGCAACAUUACAUUCCCAAUUCUCAUUUUGCCGGAAUCCCUCUUGGCAAUUAUAACAAUUUCAUUUCUUAUAUUGCUGGUAGUGGACAAACCAUGGACGUACCCGAGCUCAUACAGGGUCACCUAAUCUUCGGAAGCUCCAUUGGGAAAUACAGGAGGUACGAAAUGGUAGGUGUGCUAAAUUCUGUAACCCAUUUAAGGUACAUACAUACGUAUCCAUACGAGAAUUUGCAAUAGUCGCGGGCAGUAUUUAAACAAUUAACAUAUUACCAAAAGCGAAAAAGACCUAUUUAUUAACAAUAUUCGGCCAACUCGGAGUGCGGCAUAGGCUAUGCACUAGGAUUAGCAACGACUUUUUUCAAGGACGCGGCACCCGCACAAUAGGCGCUCUCGAAAGGAUGCCCCGGAGGAUCCCCACGCUGCAAUCUACGACGAUCUUGGACGCAGGCCUUGUUGCAGCGAAUCAGACCCUCAAGGGCGAUAUACCGAGAUUAUAGAUGUGCGAUUAAAGCCGCCUCCCAUUUUGGUCCAAUGCGACCUGAGUUUUGAGUCCUGUAUUUCCCUCCUCACAUGAGUAAACCCAAGCAGAUGGCGGGCGGGAGAUGCGAAGUGCGUCUCGCUCUUUUUCGAUGCGAC
Long non-coding RNA from Drosophila teissieri, 708 nucleotides. RefSeq lists it as uncharacterized. The transcript has 3 exons. The record is from RefSeq and is a predicted model, not a curated record. NCBI's taxonomy places the organism in Eukaryota, Metazoa, Arthropoda, Insecta, Diptera, Drosophilidae.